CAUGCAAGUCGAACGAGUUCUGAUUAUUGAAAGGUGCUUGCAUCUUGAUUUAAUUUUGAACGAGUGGCGGACGGGUGAGUAACACGUGGGUAACCUGCCCUUAAGUGGGGGAUAACAUUUGGAAACAGAUGCUAAUACCGCAUAAAUCCAAGAACCGCAUGGUUCUUGGCUGAAAGAUGGCGUAAGCUAUCGCUUUUGGAUGGACCCGCGGCGUAUUAGCUAGUUGGUGAGGUAACGGCUCACCAAGGCAAUGAUACGUAGCCGAACUGAGAGGUUGAUCGGCCACAUUGGGACUGAGACACGGCCCAAACUCCUACGGGAGGCAGCAGUAGGGAAUCUUCCACAAUGGACGCAAGUCUGAUGGAGCAACGCCGCGUGAGUGAAGAAGGCUUUCGGGUCGUAAAACUCUGUUGUUGGAGAAGAAUGGUCGGCAGAGUAACUGUUGUCGGCGUGACGGUAUCCAACCAGAAAGCCACGGCUAACUACGUGCCAGCAGCCGCGGUAAUACGUAGGUGGCAAGCGUUAUCCGGAUUUAUUGGGCGUAAAGCGAGCGCAGGCGGUUUUUUAAGUCUGAUGUGAAAGCCCUCGGCUUAACCGAGGAAGUGCAUCGGAAACUGGGAAACUUGAGUGCAGAAGAGGACAGUGGAACUCCAUGUGUAGCGGUGAAAUGCGUAGAUAUAUGGAAGAACACCAGUGGCGAAGGCGGCUGUCUGGUCUGUAACUGACGCUGAGGCUCGAAAGCAUGGGUAGCGAACAGGAUUAGAUACCCUGGUAGUCCAUGCCGUAAACGAUGAAUGCUAGGUGUUGGAGGGUUUCCGCCCUUCAGUGCCGCAGCUAACGCAUUAAGCAUUCCGCCUGGGGAGUACGACCGCAAGGUUGAAACUCAAAGGAAUUGACGGGGGCCCGCACAAGCGGUGGAGCAUGUGGUUUAAUUCGAAGCAACGCGAAGAACCUUACCAGGUCUUGACAUCUUUUGAUCACCUGAGAGAUCAGGUUUCCCCUUCGGGGGCAAAAUGACAGGUGGUGCAUGGUUGUCGUCAGCUCGUGUCGUGAGAUGUUGGGUUAAGUCCCGCAACGAGCGCAACCCUUAUGACUAGUUGCCAGCAUUUAGUUGGGCACUCUAGUAAGACUGCCGGUGACAAACCGGAGGAAGGUGGGGAUGACGUCAAAUCAUCAUGCCCCUUAUGACCUGGGCUACACACGUGCUACAAUGGAUGGUACAACGAGUUGCGAGACCGCGAGGUCAAGCUAAUCUCUUAAAGCCAUUCUCAGUUCGGACUGUAGGCUGCAACUCGCCUACACGAAGUCGGAAUCGCUAGUAAUCGCGGAUCAGCACGCCGCGGUGAAUACGUUCCCGGGCCUUGUACACACCGCCCGUCACACCAUGAGAGUUUGUAACACCCGAAGCCGGUGGCGUAACCCUUUUAGGGAGCGAGC
Molecule: ribosomal RNA, 1437 nt
Filed under: Lacticaseibacillus rhamnosus
Lineage: Bacteria; Bacillati; Bacillota; Bacilli; Lactobacillales; Lactobacillaceae
Description: bacterial SSU rRNA
Rfam family: Bacterial small subunit ribosomal RNA
Source: RNAcentral